UACGUAGGGUGCAAGCGUUGUCCGGAAUUAUUGGGCGUAAAGAGCUCGUAGGCGGUUUGUUGCGUCGGCUGUGAAAUCCCGAGGCUCAACCUCGGGUCUGCAGUCGAUACGAGCAAACUAGAGUGUUGCAGGGGAGACUGGAAUUCCUGGUGUAGCGGUGAAAUGCGCAGAUAUUAGGAGGAACACCGAUGGCGAAGGCAGGUCUCUGGGCCACUACUGACGCUGAGAAGCGAAAGCAUGGGGAGCGAACAGG
Molecule: ribosomal RNA, 253 nt
Filed under: uncultured bacterium
Lineage: Bacteria
Description: partial 16S ribosomal RNA
Rfam family: Bacterial small subunit ribosomal RNA
Source: RNAcentral